Molecule: ribosomal RNA, 496 nt
Filed under: uncultured bacterium
Lineage: Bacteria
Description: partial 16S ribosomal RNA
Rfam family: Bacterial small subunit ribosomal RNA
Source: RNAcentral
GAUGAACGCUGGCGGCGUGCCUAAUACAUGCAAGUCGAGCGAACAGACGAGGAGCUUGCUCCUCUGACGUUAGCGGCGGACGGGUGAGUAACACGUGGAUAACCUACCUAUAAGACUGGGAUAACUUCGGGAAACCGGAGCUAAUACCGGAUAAUAUAUUGAACCGCAUGGUUCAAUAGUGAAAGACGGUUUUGCUGUCACUUAUAGAUGGAUCCGCGCCGCAUUAGCUAGUUGGUAAGGUAACGGCUUACCAAGGCAACGAUGCGUAGCCGACCUGAGAGGGUGAUCGGCCACACUGGAGCUGAGACACGGUCCAGACUCCUACGUGAGGCAGCAGUAGCGAAUCUUCCGCAAUGGGCGAAAGCCUGACGGAGCAACGCCGCGUGAGUGAUGAAGGUCUUCGGAUCGUAAACUCUGUUAUUAGUGAAGAACAAAUGUGUAAGUAACUAUGCACGUCUUGACGGUACCUAAUCAGAAAGCCACGGCUAACUACGUG